GGGGGCGUAGCUCAGUUUGGGAGAGCGUACGGUUCGCAUCCGUAAGGUCGAGAGUUCGAUCCUCUUCGUCUCCACCA
Molecule: transfer RNA, 77 nt
Filed under: Clostridiales bacterium
Lineage: Bacteria; Bacillati; Bacillota; Clostridia; Eubacteriales
Description: tRNA-Ala
Rfam family: tRNA
About the family: Transfer RNA (tRNA) molecules are approximately 80 nucleotides in length. Their secondary structure includes four short double-helical elements and three loops (D, anti-codon, and T loops).
Source: RNAcentral